AGCGUCAGAAAUGACUUUUGAUAGAAGAGUGUUUAGAAUAAAUAAUCUUAACCAAGUUGUAGUAUAUGUCACAAGGUUUCCGUGCAUAUAAAGAACGCUGAAAUCCGAGUUAUAACGAAGAAGUUGUGACCUGUUGAUGUUUCGUGAUAGAACCGGUACGAAACUGCAUGACAUAAAUAUUAAGUUUAUGAUAGAGCGAUAUUUAGCCUUAGUGAUCUAAACAAAAGUCAUAGAAUACAUUAAACCGAGAGCGUGCAUAAAAAGAACGUCUAACUCUGACUUCGUAUGAGGAAGUUUCGACUUAGCGAUAUGCAGCCCAAAGUUCGAAUAUAAGAUCGAGUGGUUUCUAGCCGAAACAAUCUAAACGAGAAUCGAAGAUCUCGUUGAUAGUAGUCCAACGGUAAAAAGAAAAAGUCUAAACGAGAGUUGCAGAGCAUAAUCUCACCUUCGCAUGGAUAUAAAGAACGUCGAAAACGGAGCUCGUAUGCGAAAGAUAUGAAUUUCUAAAAUACGAGGCACGCAUACCAAAGGGGGAACGCCCUGCGUUCAAAUGGGGAAUGUCCCGCGUUCGAAGCCCAGAGCAUGUCCCGUCGCAUGUCAAGUCCGAAGUUCAUAAGCCAUGACGCACGGCGGCAUGCGCUGCGUUCGUCCAAGGAAAGCGCUGCGUUCGGAGGCCAUACCCCUCCUAUAAAUAGGAUGUGAGUCCAGUCAAAUUGGUUGCUCUUUUCUUUCCUUUCACUCCCUUAAAAUUUCUUUUACUUGGCAAGUUAUACCCCCGAAGCCCCUGUAUCAUCCCGACCCCCGAAGAUCCCAAGAAAAAGAGUUUUCGAGCCGAAACUCUGUCCGCGAGAAGCCCGAUUUUUGAGAGAACAUCCCGGUUUCAUCGGAAACGAUUGUUUUAAGAGACAAGGUGUUGUCCGAUAAUCAUCUUAUCAAGUGAGUAUGUAGUUACUUUCUUCUAACACAUACAUAUGAAGUAUUUGCUAAGAAAUACGUGUUAUGUGGUUAUAUAUUGUUUGUUUAUUUGAGAUGGAUGUUGGUUGAAUGUUUUAUAUAGGUUUGUAUAUGAUUUAAACUAUAUAUGUAAUUUAUAUCUACAAAUAUGUUGGAUAAAACAUGGGUAGAUGAAAUAGUUGGUGUGUGAUGAAAGAUUAGUUUGAGGAUGAGACAAAAGAUGAUAUAGAUCAUGAGGUGAGGGUGACAGGUGAAAAAUGAGUGAAACCUGUACCCAAACGAUGGCCCCCGUCAUUCAGCAGAGUAGGGAUGACAACCAUAGACUAUUCUAGACAGUCCUGUGGAACACUAGCAAGCUCGCAACUUGUAGGUGUUGUGUACUUGAUGUUCAUCGGUGUACUCUAAAAACCCUGGCAGCUAUUGUCUUAGUUCCUAAUGAAGAAUCCUGACAACUAUUGUCUUAGUUCUUAAUAAAGAACACUAGCAGGUAUUGUCUUAGUGCCUAAUGAAGAACCUUGGUAGCUAUGGAUUUAGUACUACAAAGAUGAACCUUGGUAGCUAUGGAUUUAGUGCUUGAUGUAUGAACCUCGGGCAGUAAUGGACUUCAUGCCUAUUCCUUAGGUCGGUCCUUAUGAAUGACAGAUGAAGGAUAGAUGAUUCUUAGGGUAGAUCCUUAAGAGUAAAGAAGAUAACGGGGAAUGAGUAAUUGGGUUGAUUGUUUAAUGAUUAAAUUUUAUAAUUAAAUUAUUGUGGGUUGAAAACCCUAUAUGCUCACCAGGCUCCCAAGCCUGACCUACUCAGUUUUCUUUGCAUUAUAGGUAAUGGCGCCAGAGUAUAAGUUGGUGGACUUGAAAAUAGAUUUUGGAUUAUAGAUAUGUAGUUAUAAAUAACUGUUGCAAGGUCUGGUUUAUAUUGUUUAUGCUUUUGGUCUGUAUCGGAACAUGACAUCCCGAGAUUUUGUUAUUUAAUGAAAAUAUAUUUCUUUAAAUAAAUGCUUUGAUAAAUUCUUAUCAUAUUUUGUUAUGGGAACAAAUUCUGCAACUCUUUUAAUCAAAGGAUUACUCUGAUUUUAUAAAACAAAGCAUAAACAAAUCGAUCUUUUCUGGCCGUGAAAAUGGGGAUGUCACAGUUGGUAUCAGAGCAUUAGUUUAAGCGAACUAGGAAUUUGUAGGAUUUCUAGACUUAAACUUAGAAUGCCAAGCGAUGAUUUUGAGAUGAGUGUCUACCAUAUUUUAAGACGCGAGCACUAGUAUAUUUUAGGAAAGAUGCCUAAAAUGCUUUUAUGUGCUAAAUGCUAUAUGUUUGCCAUAUAUGAAAUUGUUUUUUUGGAUCUAUGGUCAGUUGUCGACCGGAUCUGGAAACCUUAUGUGUUUAGGAUUGUAAGCGUACGACUAUGAUAUUAAAACUAGCAUGCAAACGUUUCGAAGUGAUAAGGUGAUUUAUACGUCUAUCGUAAAUAAAGCUUUCUUAUCUUAAAUUCUUGCCCUGUACACCGAACGUCUGCUUGGAUAUACAAAACGUUAUAGUGAAGACUCUUAGAGAAUUGAUUAAAUGGAGGAAAUGAAAGGCUUAUGAUAGUGAAUGACACCUAUCGAAAGAUAUCGUAAGAGUGGUAUCUUGCCUUUAGAAUAUGUCUGAUAAAAUAACGAAACGUUUAGAGGAGUACGGUACGUUUGAGGUACACCUUCGAUUGGCAGGAUGAUGGAACGAUUGGUGUAAUUCAUGAAGUUUUUCCAUCGUCUAGAAUUUCCAUCACCAACCGAGUAGAAGUAGAAUUGAUGAGUGAAGAUGCGGAUGAAAGAAGUCCUAGUAAAGUCUAGGAAAAUUUGUAUGAUUAAUUGGACACAUUUGUAUGUGUUAAAUUUUUUUGUGAUUUUAGGACUUGGGGACUACGAGACAAUACUUAGGACAAGUAGGAGUAGGUGUGAAUAGUAGUAGAGAUAUAUACUACUAGAAGCACAUGACUCACGCUUGGAUCAGGGAAAGUCACAAAGUUACCAAGAAGCUAGUGAUUGGUCUCGUUUUAUUCAAGUAUGUCGUUACCAUUGUUUUGGUAAUUACUAAUGAGAUGAUUGUUAUUCCGAACCAAGUGGUCAUUUCAAAUGAGAUCGACUACGAUGAGUUUGUUACGUGGUUCAAAGAACCAAGUUCGAUGUAACAUCUGGCGUAAGACGGAAGAUUCAAAUCAAUGCAAUCAAUAGCAUUGCGCUCGUUGUUAAAGAAGAUUGUAGCUAGAAAUGCUACAUGAUAAAAUGUGAUUAUAUCAGAUUAUAACAUGAAGGAAGAUAUAUUCCAUUCUAGAAUUUGACUCUAAGAGACUUGAGUCUAGGCGUUGCAUCAUACGAUGAGAGGUCAUUAGAACAUGACCCAUCGAUCUGUUACAAUAGAUAAAGGAAAGUACUUAUCCUAAGAAGAAGAAGCAGUCCUCAAUAAGGAUUUAUUUUGUAACUCGUAGGUUGCGAUUGAAAGUCCAACAUAGUACGAAGAGCAGAUGCAAGAUUGAGCAUCGCCUGCGGUCAAGAUGUCCAAGAGUUAGAUACUCAUUCAAAGAAACAUAGAAGUUACGAUUAUUACCUAUGAUUAAAAGAUGUAACGUAUGGAAUCAUUAUACAAUUCCUAUUUUCUUUGAUGAUUCCGGGACGUAAUCAUCCUAAGGGGGAGACAAUUGUAACGCCCGUAGAUCUGGGCUAGUCAAUUUAGAGAUGAUAAGCGUCAGAAAUGACUUUUGAUAGAAGAGUGUUUAGAAUAAAUAAUCUUAACCAAGUUGUAGUAUAUGUCACAAGGUUUCCGUGCAUAUAAAGAACGCUGAAAUCCGAGUUAUAACGAAGAAGUUGUGACCUGUUGAUGUUUCGUGAUAGAACCGGUACGAAACUGCAUGACAUAAAUAUUAAGUUUAUGAUAGAGCGAUAUUUAGCCUUAGUGAUCUAAACAAAAGUCAUAGAAUACAUUAAACCGAGAGCGUGCAUAAAAAGAACGUCUAACUCUGACUU
RNAcentral lists this long non-coding RNA (3944 nucleotides) under Lactuca sativa (garden lettuce). RNAcentral's name for it is "long non-coding RNA (LSAT_LNC003215)". Lineage: Eukaryota; Viridiplantae; Streptophyta; Magnoliopsida; Asterales; Asteraceae. The record is from RNAcentral.